UUUUCCUACGGGGGGCAGCAGUAGGGAAUUUUCGUCAAUGGGCGCGAGCCUGAACGAGCGAUGCCGCGUGAGUGAAGAAGGCCUUCGGGUCGUAAAGCUCUGUUGCGGGGGAAAAAAGGCAGCAUCAGGAAAUGGGUGCUGACUGAUGGUGCCCCGCCAGAAAGUCACGGCUAACUACGUGCCAGCAGCCGCGGUAAUACGUAGGUGGCGAGCGUUAUCCGGAAUGAUUGGGCGUAAAGGGAACGCAGGCGGUCUUUU
Molecule: ribosomal RNA, 258 nt
Filed under: uncultured bacterium
Lineage: Bacteria
Description: partial 16S ribosomal RNA
Rfam family: Bacterial small subunit ribosomal RNA
Source: RNAcentral